RNAcentral lists this ribosomal RNA (253 nucleotides) under uncultured bacterium. RNAcentral describes it as "partial 16S ribosomal RNA". It matches the Rfam family "Bacterial small subunit ribosomal RNA", at positions 524 to 776 of the family's 1533-position model. The record is from RNAcentral.
UACGUAGGGGCCAAGCGUUGUUCGGAUUUACUGGGCGUAAAGGGCGCGUAGGCGGCGUGUUAAGUCAGCUGUGAAAUCUCCAAGCUUAACUUGGAACGGUCAGCUGAUACUGAUGUGCUAGAGUGCAGAAGGGGCAACCGGAAUUCUUGGUGUAGCGGUGAAAUGCGUAGAUAUCAAGAGGAACACCUGAGGUGAAGACGGGUUGCUGGGCUGACACUGACGCUGAGGCGCGAAAGCUAGGGUAGCAAACGGG